Molecule: long non-coding RNA, 210 nt
Filed under: Lathyrus oleraceus (garden pea)
Lineage: Eukaryota; Viridiplantae; Streptophyta; Magnoliopsida; Fabales; Fabaceae
Description: Pisum sativum (pea) long non-coding RNA (PSAT_LNC006934)
Source: RNAcentral
AAAAGUCAAUAAUUAAGAAAAUCUAAAAAAACUAAACAUUUAAAAUCUAAACAACUAAUUAACGAUUAAAUUAAAUUAAUAAAAAUAUAAAAGUAAAAUAAAUAGUAAGAAAUUAUAAAAAAUUUAAAUGAAAUAGUAAGCAUAAAAAAUAAAAAUAUAGAGAUAUGCUACUCCCAAGUAUUGAACCCAACCCACUAAAGAAAAUGAAAC